ACACGAUGAGACAUUUAGAUGACGAGUCUGAACCUGACGGGACAGAGUUUCUCUGUUUCGUCGGAACGUGACGAGUCAAUCAAAUUAUACCAUUCAUGCUUUUCUGAUC
RNAcentral lists this small nucleolar RNA (109 nucleotides) under Hypholoma sublateritium FD-334 SS-4. The record is from RNAcentral. Lineage: Eukaryota; Fungi; Basidiomycota; Agaricomycetes; Agaricales; Strophariaceae.